Molecule: ribosomal RNA, 419 nt
Filed under: bacterium
Lineage: Bacteria
Description: partial 16S ribosomal RNA
Rfam family: Bacterial small subunit ribosomal RNA
Source: RNAcentral
UGGGGGAUAUUGCACAAUGGGCGCAAGCCUGAUGCAGCGACGCCGCGUGGGGGAUGAAGGCCUUCGGGUUGUAAACUUCUUUUGCUCUGAACAAGGCGCACUUUGGGGUGUGUUGAGUGUAGGGGUUGAUUAGCGCCGGCUAACUACGUCCCAGCAGCCGCGGUAAUACGUAGGGCGCGAGCGUUGUCCGGAAUUAUUGGGCGUAAAGGGCUUGUAGGUGGCUGGUUGCGUCUGUCGUGAAAGCUCAUGGCUUAACUGUGGGUUUGCGGUGGGUACGGGCUGGCUUGAGUGCAGUAGGGGAGGCUGGAAUUCCUGGUGUAGCGGUGGAAUGCGCAGAUAUCAGGAGGAAUACCGGUGGCGAAGGCGGGUCUCUGGGCUGUUACUGACACUGAGGAGCGAAAGCAUGGGGAGCGAACAGG